UGGCUCAGUGGUAGAGUGCUUGCCUUGCAUGCGUGAGGCCCUGGGUUCGAUUUCCCAG
RNAcentral lists this transfer RNA (58 nucleotides) under Dipodomys ordii (Ord's kangaroo rat). It matches the Rfam family "tRNA", at positions 8 to 63 of the family's 71-position model. Rfam says of the family: Transfer RNA (tRNA) molecules are approximately 80 nucleotides in length. Their secondary structure includes four short double-helical elements and three loops (D, anti-codon, and T loops). Further hydrogen bonds mediate the characteristic L-shaped molecular structure. tRNAs have two regions of fundamental functional importance: the anti-codon, which is responsible for specific mRNA codon recognition, and the 3' end, to which the tRNAs corresponding amino acid is attached (by aminoacyl-tRNA synthetases). tRNAs cope with the degeneracy of the genetic code in two manners: having more than one tRNA (with a specific anti-codon) for a particular amino acid; and 'wobble' base-pairing, i.e. permitting non-standard base-pairing at the 3rd anti-codon position. The record is from Rfam by way of RNAcentral. Lineage: Eukaryota; Metazoa; Chordata; Mammalia; Rodentia; Heteromyidae.